RNAcentral lists this ribosomal RNA (498 nucleotides) under uncultured bacterium. Its description in RNAcentral is "bacterial SSU rRNA". It matches the Rfam family "Bacterial small subunit ribosomal RNA", at positions 15 to 518 of the family's 1533-position model. The record is from RNAcentral.
GAUUAUGGCUCAGGAUGAACGCUGGCGGCGUGCCUAACACAUGCAAGUCGAACGGACCUUUAUGGACCGCGAUCGUCAAAGAAAUUAAGGUUAGUGGCGGACGGGUGAGUAACGCGUGGGUAACCUGCCUCAUAGAGGGGGAUAACAGUUGGAAACGACUGCUAAUACCGCAUAAGCCCACAGGACCGCAUGGUCCAGGGGGAAAAGAUUCAUCGCUAUGAGAUGGACCCGCGUCUGAUUAGUUAGUUGGCGGUGUAACGGACCACCAAGACGACGAUCAGUAGCCGGACUGAGAGGUUGAACGGCCACAUUGGGACUGAGACACGGCCCAAACUCCUACGGGAGGCAGCAGUGGGGAAUAUUGCACAAUGGGGGAAACCCUGAUGCAGCGACGCCGCGUGGGUGAAGAAGUUUUUCGGAAUGUAAAGCCCUAUCAGCAGGGAAGAAAAUGACGGUACCUGACUAAGAAGCCCCGGCUAACUACGUGCCAGCCGCCGC